CUCCUAACAAAAGAAGAUCUCGCUAGAAGAGAGUUUAUCAAGGGUGGAGACCUCAUAUUGCUCUUCACCAUGCAAGAUAUCUCAGCGCUGCUUCAGAAGCACUCUCUACCCUGCCCUAAAGUAACUGUGAAGAACUUCAACGUUUCUACUGACGCAAGCGCCCAGCAGGAACCAUGUGCUACAAGAGUUGCUUCCACACCUCAGCCGAUCUCAACAACUACAACUCCCACUA
Long non-coding RNA from Sinocyclocheilus rhinocerous, 232 nucleotides. RefSeq lists it as uncharacterized. Lineage: Eukaryota; Metazoa; Chordata; Actinopteri; Cypriniformes; Cyprinidae. The record is from RefSeq and is a predicted model, not a curated record. The transcript has 3 exons.